This is a long non-coding RNA of Astyanax mexicanus (Mexican tetra), 1202 nucleotides long. RefSeq lists it as uncharacterized. Lineage: Eukaryota; Metazoa; Chordata; Actinopteri; Characiformes; Acestrorhamphidae. The transcript is spliced from 5 exons. The record is from RefSeq and is a predicted model, not a curated record.
CGUUGCAUCAUUUCAUUUGGGGUCGAGUUUCUAUGUGAUAUGAGCAGGCUUCGGGCUGAGAGUGAGCUGUGUUCAUCUUCCUUUUUUUCAUUUGAUCUGCUGCACACCAUCCUAUUUGGAGACUGCUGUGCUGCACCUAUCUAAACCACCAUUCCCUAUUUUAUGGACGGAAAGCUGCAAGUUUACAAUCUUCUCUUGUAAUAAGGCCCAAGUCCCCUGGACCCUCAUGGACCCAGCAGGCAGAAGUCUGGAUCUUCAGACUGGGUUUUACCCAGUGAAAUGUCAUUGUUGGAGACCACUAUGUGCUCCUCACCUCACUGAGCGAUUAUUCUUCAUUCGUCUUGGACCUACUGCUACUGCUUGUGAAGGAAAGCUGGUUCCUGGUUAGAUCACCAUGGAGUCCUUAAACAUUCGCCUGCAGUGUGAAAGCACUUUUCUAGAUGGUUCAGAUAUUUGGACCAAUUACAGGAAGCAGAGGCAGAAAACAAACCAGAGGAAGAAAGGAUUGGUGCUGUACUGAAAUCUGACUCCCCUCGGCGUGCAGGCGCGUCACGCAACAUUAUAGGACACAAGCACUUACACUGGGAUAUAAUUUAAUAACUGUAACAAUAUACUAAGUCUUACUUAUACACAGAAAUAAAAUAAAUCUAAUGAGAAUUUGUUACACUCAUUCUGCUGCGGCAGAUUUAUCACAUCACAGCAACUCGCCGAACACCUAUCAUUCUAUAAACCAAUUAAUAUAGAGUAUAGAGAGACGCAGCCCACGUAGCUGAUGAUGAGAGGACAUAGUAAAGUUCUUUUGUCCGCUUACUAAACUGCAGUGUGAAAUGAAACCUAACCGGACCAAAAGGUACAGUGUAUCAAACACAUGAACGUUAGUUCAGACCAUGGUCCGGACUUUCAGGUAUGAAAGCACCCUUAGUUUCAUUCAAUCACAGGACAGCUACUAAUCUUAUAAAAUAUUGGUCCUUCAUAAUAGAAAUGUACUAUUGAGAGUUGUACAAGUGUCUGUGUUGCUUUUAAGGUGAGGAAACUGUCCACUGAUCAAGGAUUAUAAAAUGAUUAACACAAUCUGCAUUUUUAAAAAGAUAAGUUUGAUUCUCUAAAUGUACAGCUGAAAUGCACUGAUUGUCUUUGUAAAGAUAAUAACAAAGCAGUAUGUCUCAUGUUUAAUGUUUUAAUGACAAUAAAAACUAUCACCC